This 75-nucleotide transfer RNA is filed under the name Candidatus Chloroploca asiatica. RNAcentral describes it as "tRNA-His". It matches the Rfam family "tRNA". Rfam says of the family: Transfer RNA (tRNA) molecules are approximately 80 nucleotides in length. Their secondary structure includes four short double-helical elements and three loops (D, anti-codon, and T loops). Further hydrogen bonds mediate the characteristic L-shaped molecular structure. tRNAs have two regions of fundamental functional importance: the anti-codon, which is responsible for specific mRNA codon recognition, and the 3' end, to which the tRNAs corresponding amino acid is attached (by aminoacyl-tRNA synthetases). tRNAs cope with the degeneracy of the genetic code in two manners: having more than one tRNA (with a specific anti-codon) for a particular amino acid; and 'wobble' base-pairing, i.e. permitting non-standard base-pairing at the 3rd anti-codon position. Lineage: Bacteria; Bacillati; Chloroflexota; Chloroflexia; Chloroflexales; Oscillochloridaceae. The record is from RNAcentral. RNAcentral also lists the same sequence under 2 other names.
GUGCUUGUAGCUCAAUGGCAGAGCGCCUGACUGUGGAUCAGGAGGUUGCGGGUUCGAAACCCGUCAGGCACCCCA